GGGUGUAUAACUCAAUUGGUAGAGUAGCUGCCUUACAAGCAGUUUGUUGUAGGUUCAAGUCCUGCUUCACCCA
RNAcentral lists this transfer RNA (73 nucleotides) under Bulbochaete rectangularis var. hiloensis. RNAcentral's name for it is "tRNA-Val". It matches the Rfam family "tRNA". From Rfam's summary of the family: Transfer RNA (tRNA) molecules are approximately 80 nucleotides in length. The record is from RNAcentral. Lineage: Eukaryota; Viridiplantae; Chlorophyta; Chlorophyceae; Oedogoniales; Oedogoniaceae.